RNAcentral lists this ribosomal RNA (1530 nucleotides) under Salmonella enterica subsp. enterica serovar Thompson. RNAcentral's name for it is "bacterial SSU rRNA". It matches the Rfam family "Bacterial small subunit ribosomal RNA". Lineage: Bacteria; Pseudomonadati; Pseudomonadota; Gammaproteobacteria; Enterobacterales; Enterobacteriaceae. RNAcentral also lists the same sequence under 6 other names. The record is from RNAcentral.
AGAGUUUGAUCAUGGCUCAGAUUGAACGCUGGCGGCAGGCCUAACACAUGCAAGUCGAACGGUAACAGGAAGCAGCUUGCUGCUUCGCUGACGAGUGGCGGACGGGUGAGUAAUGUCUGGGAAACUGCCUGAUGGAGGGGGAUAACUACUGGAAACGGUGGCUAAUACCGCAUAACGUCGCAAGACCAAAGAGGGGGACCUUCGGGCCUCUUGCCAUCAGAUGUGCCCAGAUGGGAUUAGCUUGUUGGUGAGGUAACGGCUCACCAAGGCGACGAUCCCUAGCUGGUCUGAGAGGAUGACCAGCCACACUGGAACUGAGACACGGUCCAGACUCCUACGGGAGGCAGCAGUGGGGAAUAUUGCACAAUGGGCGCAAGCCUGAUGCAGCCAUGCCGCGUGUAUGAAGAAGGCCUUCGGGUUGUAAAGUACUUUCAGCGGGGAGGAAGGUGUUGUGGUUAAUAACCGCAGCAAUUGACGUUACCCGCAGAAGAAGCACCGGCUAACUCCGUGCCAGCAGCCGCGGUAAUACGGAGGGUGCAAGCGUUAAUCGGAAUUACUGGGCGUAAAGCGCACGCAGGCGGUCUGUCAAGUCGGAUGUGAAAUCCCCGGGCUCAACCUGGGAACUGCAUUCGAAACUGGCAGGCUUGAGUCUUGUAGAGGGGGGUAGAAUUCCAGGUGUAGCGGUGAAAUGCGUAGAGAUCUGGAGGAAUACCGGUGGCGAAGGCGGCCCCCUGGACAAAGACUGACGCUCAGGUGCGAAAGCGUGGGGAGCAAACAGGAUUAGAUACCCUGGUAGUCCACGCCGUAAACGAUGUCUACUUGGAGGUUGUGCCCUUGAGGCGUGGCUUCCGGAGCUAACGCGUUAAGUAGACCGCCUGGGGAGUACGGCCGCAAGGUUAAAACUCAAAUGAAUUGACGGGGGCCCGCACAAGCGGUGGAGCAUGUGGUUUAAUUCGAUGCAACGCGAAGAACCUUACCUGGUCUUGACAUCCACAGAACUUUCCAGAGAUGGAUUGGUGCCUUCGGGAACUGUGAGACAGGUGCUGCAUGGCUGUCGUCAGCUCGUGUUGUGAAAUGUUGGGUUAAGUCCCGCAACGAGCGCAACCCUUAUCCUUUGUUGCCAGCGGUCCGGCCGGGAACUCAAAGGAGACUGCCAGUGAUAAACUGGAGGAAGGUGGGGAUGACGUCAAGUCAUCAUGGCCCUUACGACCAGGGCUACACACGUGCUACAAUGGCGCAUACAAAGAGAAGCGACCUCGCGAGAGCAAGCGGACCUCAUAAAGUGCGUCGUAGUCCGGAUUGGAGUCUGCAACUCGACUCCAUGAAGUCGGAAUCGCUAGUAAUCGUGGAUCAGAAUGCCACGGUGAAUACGUUCCCGGGCCUUGUACACACCGCCCGUCACACCAUGGGAGUGGGUUGCAAAAGAAGUAGGUAGCUUAACCUUCGGGAGGGCGCUUACCACUUUGUGAUUCAUGACUGGGGUGAAGUCGUAACAAGGUAACCGUAGGGGAACCUGCGGUUGGAUCACCU